RNAcentral lists this ribosomal RNA (432 nucleotides) under uncultured bacterium. RNAcentral describes it as "bacterial SSU rRNA". It matches the Rfam family "Bacterial small subunit ribosomal RNA", at positions 29 to 506 of the family's 1533-position model. The record is from RNAcentral.
AUGAAUGCUGGCUGUAUGGAUAAGGCAUGCAAGUCGAACGGUCCGCAAGGACAGUGGCAGACGAGGUAGUAACACGUAGGUACGUACUCCCAAGUCCGGCAUAGCCAACCGAAAGGUUGGGUAAUACCGGAUGGUCCCGUGAGGGUAAAGAUUUAUCGCUUGGGAAGCGGCCUGCGUAGUAUCAGCUUGUUGGUAAGGUAACGGCUUACCAAGGCUACGACGCUUAGGGGAGCUGAGAGGCUGACCCCCACCGAUGGGACUGAGACACGGCCCAUACUCCUACGGGAGGCCGCAGUCGAGAAUCUUCCGCAAUGGACGAAAGUCUGACGGAGCGAUACAGCGUGGUGGACGAAGUGCUUCGGCACGUAAACACCUUUUAUGUGGGACGAAAUCAUUGACGGUACCACAUGAAUAAGGGGCUCCUAACUCUGU